RNAcentral lists this ribosomal RNA (378 nucleotides) under Triticum aestivum (bread wheat). RNAcentral describes it as "partial small subunit ribosomal RNA". The record is from RNAcentral. Lineage: Eukaryota; Viridiplantae; Streptophyta; Magnoliopsida; Poales; Poaceae.
AUGGACACCGGCGCGGCGCCUGCACCUACGACUGUUUCCUCCGACUACUUCCGCCUUGCCUACGAGGCAUCCACCUCCUGGAUGGACUCUUUGGCGAUGGAGAGCUCAGGAUUCAUCACCCCAACUGAAUCCACCGUGCUAUCACAGCCUCAGCUUCGUGUUUAUGGUGCGGCUGCGUGGAAGCCAGUGACAAGUACAGCCACUCUCUACUCACCUCUAUAUAUGUAUGGGUUAACUCCCUCGAGAAAAGGAGUCUUUGCAAGACCACCUGCAUAUGUGAAGGCAUCGCUCGCGCCCAACGUUUUUGACCGCCCGAUCGAUUCACCACAGACGGCGAUGGCACAGACCAGGAAUGUGUCGGCGGUGGCGCUACCUUGA